UUUUUUAUUAAGUGCCUCUAGAUUUACUUUUUGGGACAAUUGUAAAUACUAACUAAAUAAGAGACACUAAUAUUUUAAAUUUCAGGAAUUAAAACUUUCAGGGGAAACAAUCGCGCCUUUCUUAUUUCUGGGGACUCUUCUCUUCCUCCUCAAUCCAAAUUCCCUAUUCUUCCAAUUACCCUAUCAUUCAAACAUCCACCAGUUUCUAAUUUCACGUUAGCCAAAAAAACUCAAACUCGGAAACCUGACUCACGUUAUUGCCGCCGCUGUGCCCGCCGCUGCGCUGUCGUAAUCUCGAAGCCGCUGCUGUACCGCCGACAUCCUCUUCUCCGUUUCCAGUUGCUGCUGUGCCUUCUACCCCAUAUCCUAGGCAUCGAUUUUGCUCCUUGUGUGGCGCUGCGAUCGGUGUUCUCGCCCCAAUCGAAAGCCCCAAUCGAAGAAGCCUAGGUUUUUGAGACAUUAUUGAAGUAGUCGGGAACCUUCUAAACAUAGAUCUUCGGGACAAGCCUGCACUUGAGACGCCUUUUGCUUCUCAAAAGUAAGUCUGAUAUAUUGUUUCUCAUCCAUACCCACAGAAAGCUUCUAAAAUUGCUCCAGUUCUUUCACAAGAGUGACUAUCCUUCCAUGGCUCGGCUGCUGUUCCUGAUAACGAAUUUGGAAGGAGGCCUAAUCCUUCUGCAAUACGAAGAAAUGAAACUGCUGCAUCUACACCUGGCUGGACAGAGAAACCAUUGUAGAAUACCAAUUUUUCGCAUACAACUCAAAAAGAGAUGAGAAGGCAGUGCCAGCCUUAUUGGCUUAUUUUUUUUAUAGUUUACUGUUUAAACAUGGCACCUUCCUCUCUCCCUCAUGCAUCUCAGCGGCAAAUGCAGUGUUACUUUUACUUUGAUCAAAGAAAUCCAGUUCUCUUCUCUGAAUUGACAUUUAAAUAUCUUAAGUGUAAGCUCAUAACAUCUCAUGAUCUCUGUCUUUGUCUCUUAAACAGGUACUAUUGUUGAUGAGAAAUCUCUCGAGCAAUUUGGCUAGUCGUGAUUUUGAGGAUCAUAGAAGGCUGCUUUCAUCAUAUGAGACUGACCUCGAGAAGGAUGAUGCUUUUGAUGUAAUUGAUUCUAUCCUUUGUAGCCAUUCUGAAGGUGCAGGCUAACUUUGUGUAUUAUUGUAGCCAAAAGAAUAUGAUAUGAUUGUAUUUGUACAAUAAGUGUCUUUUUUACACUUAUUUAUAUAAUAAUUUUAGAGCA
Molecule: long non-coding RNA, 1238 nt
Organism: Salvia miltiorrhiza (redroot sage)
Lineage: Eukaryota; Viridiplantae; Streptophyta; Magnoliopsida; Lamiales; Lamiaceae
Exons: 5
Source: RefSeq, a predicted model, not a curated record